GCGGGUGUAGCUCAAUGGCAGAGCUCCGGCUUCCCAAGCCGGCCACGUGGGUUCGAUUCCCAUCACCCGCUCCA
Molecule: transfer RNA, 74 nt
Filed under: Clostridiales bacterium
Lineage: Bacteria; Bacillati; Bacillota; Clostridia; Eubacteriales
Also listed under: 2 other names
Description: tRNA-Gly
Rfam family: tRNA
About the family: Transfer RNA (tRNA) molecules are approximately 80 nucleotides in length.
Source: RNAcentral